GAGGUAGUUUUUAGUACGUAGAAAUCGUGCAUGCUGCUGCUAAAGAACCAGCAGUAUCUUUUGAAGAUUUUCUACCCCC
Non-coding RNA from Glossina austeni, 79 nucleotides. The record is from Rfam. NCBI's taxonomy places the organism in Eukaryota, Metazoa, Arthropoda, Insecta, Diptera, Glossinidae.